CUGGGGCAUUACUAUAUUACAAUAGGUGGGUGGAGGACUAGGGUUUCUUAGAAUAUGAGAGAACAGAGGUGGUCAUGUGCCAAGACUAUGUAUGUUACGUCCUUGCAAUGUACAUUAAACAAUAACAAGAAACGGCUCUCGGGGCGUCUGAGUGCAAGAAGGCAGAUUAAUCCUUUCAGUGCUGGAAUGUUAGCCAGUCUCACAUCAACGCUUUCAGUGCUGGAAUGUUCGUUAAUCUCAUUAAAUACAAUCCCCCCUUUUAUUCUAAAAGCAUAAACAAAUGAAGAGAGGGAAUUGGGUGAUCUGGAUACCAUCGAUAAAGGUCAAUGCAUCCACCUGAGUGCCCAAGUCAGGUAUACACACUGACACUGCUAGCCAUACAUACUGCUAAACUGUGACGAAAGCAACUUCGCCACCGGUUUUUGGAGAGGAAUAAUGGCUAGCCUCUUGCCCUGUGACUUUGUACCCUGUGAUAAACCUGGCUAAAAUACUUUAAACAGGCUUUGUUAAUGUGAGUUAUGUACUUUUGCACUCCAGACAGAGAGACAGACUGUUAGCCCUGAUUCUAUGGAACAGUUUUGGGCAUGGGGUCAUGCAUGCGGUUGGUCAAAACUGACCAGGAAAUCCUGAACCCCUGUUGAGUGAUUUAUGGAUAUGUUGUUCACCCAGAUCAGGGCUAUCAGGGGGAUUUAUGGGGAUAUGUGGUGUUUUCCAGACUUUGUAAAAGGGAAUGUUUUUUCUGCAUGGAGUUAGUCUAUUGUUUUCAUAAUUGUAUCACAGGCAGAGGGGAGGGAUUGUGUACACUGUAUGGGAGUGUCUGAAUGUAAACCGCUUUAUUGGCUUGUAUGUUUUGUAUUCGAUGCCCAACUAGGUCCACCUGGGCGUCACCUUUGCUGUAAAACUUGUAUAAAAGACCAGUGUGUGCCAUUAAACUUUCUGUUCCUUUUUGACCCUCAACACGUAGUCUUGUCUCGUGAUUGGAGGGGGAACUGCUAUAAUCACACUGGGGAUUGCUAUACUCUGUAUACUCCCCUGGGUUCUAAUCACUAGCUCUUAUAAGAGCUGUUCCUGCUUCGCUCUCUGAAGGAAGAGAGGUUCACCCCCUGGAGCCUGGUUGUGGGUCCAGGGUGGGUAGGAGAAGGCGAGACCCCAACCAAGCUGC
Molecule: non-coding RNA, 1162 nt
Organism: Pelobates cultripes (western spadefoot toad)
Lineage: Eukaryota; Metazoa; Chordata; Amphibia; Anura; Pelobatidae
Source: the annotation of a GenBank genome assembly